GUGUGUGUGUGUGUGGAAUGUUGGGUUACCUGUGUGUGUGUGUGUGUGUGUGUGUGUGUGUAGAGUGUUGGGUUACCCGUGUGUGUGUGUGUGUGUGUGUGUGUGUGGAGUGUUGGUUUACCUGUGUGUGCGUGUGUGUAGAGUGUUGGGUUACCCGUGUGUGUAUGUGUGUGUGUGUGUGUGUGUAGUGACAGUUUACCUGUGUGUGCGUGUGUGUAGAGUGUUGGGUUACCCGUGUGUGUAUGUGUGUGUGUGUGUGUGUGUGGAGUGUUGGGUUACCUGUGUGUGUGUGUGUGUGUGUUUAGAGUGUUGGGUUACCCGUGUGUGU
Clupea harengus (Atlantic herring) is the source of this 328-nucleotide long non-coding RNA. The record is from Ensembl. NCBI's taxonomy places the organism in Eukaryota, Metazoa, Chordata, Actinopteri, Clupeiformes, Clupeidae.